AGUGAACGCUGGCGGUAGGCCUAACACAUGCAAGUCGAACGGCAGCACAGUAAGAGCUUGCUCUUACGGGUGGCGAGUGGCGGACGGGUGAGGAAUACAUCGGAAUCUACUUUUUCGUGGGGGAUAACGUAGGGAAACUUACGCUAAUACCGCAUACGACCUACGGUUGAAAGCAGGGGAUCUUCGCACCUUGCGCGAUUGAAUGAGCCGAUGUCGGAGUAGCUAGUUGGCGGGGUAAAGGCCCACCAAGGCGACGAUCCGUAGCCGGUCUGAGAGGAUGAUCGGCCACACUGGAACUGAGACACGGUCCAGACUCCUACGGGAGGCAGCAGUGGGGAAUAUUGGACAAUGGGCGCAAGCCUGAUCCAGCCAUACCGCGUGGGUGAAGAAGGCCUUCGGGUUGUAAAGCCCUUUUGUUGGGAAAGAAAAGCAGCAGGUUAAUACCCCGCUGUUCUGACGGUACCCAAAGAAUAAGCACCGGCUAACUUCGUG
Molecule: ribosomal RNA, 492 nt
Filed under: uncultured bacterium
Lineage: Bacteria
Description: partial 16S ribosomal RNA
Rfam family: Bacterial small subunit ribosomal RNA
Source: RNAcentral